CCUACGGGGGGCAGCAGUGGGGAAUAUUGCACAAUGGGGGAAACCCUGAUGCAGCGACGCCGCGUGAGUGAAGAAGUAUUUCGGUAUGUAAAGCUCUGUCAGCAGGGAAGAAAAUGACGGUACCUGACCAAGAAGCCCCGGCUAACUCCGUGCCAGCAGCCGCGGUAAUACGUAGGGGGCAAGCGUUAUCCGGAUUUACUGGGUGUAAAGGGAGCGUAGACGGUAGGGCAAGUCUGGAGUGAAAGGCGGGGGCUCAACCCGCGGACGGCACAUGAUACUGCGAGACUAGAGUAAUGGAGGGGGAAGCGGAAUUCGCGGUGUAGCAGUGAAAUGCGUAGAUAUUAGGAGGAACACCAGUGGCGAAGGCAGCUUACUGGACUGUAAAUGACGCUGAGGCUCGAAAGCGUGGGGAGCAAACAGGAUUAGAUACCCCUGUAGUC
Molecule: ribosomal RNA, 440 nt
Filed under: uncultured bacterium
Lineage: Bacteria
Description: partial 16S ribosomal RNA
Rfam family: Bacterial small subunit ribosomal RNA
Source: RNAcentral